RNAcentral lists this long non-coding RNA (209 nucleotides) under Elaeis guineensis (African oil palm). RNAcentral describes it as "long non-coding RNA (EGUI_LNC063348)". Lineage: Eukaryota; Viridiplantae; Streptophyta; Magnoliopsida; Arecales; Arecaceae. The record is from RNAcentral.
AAUGUCGAAGGUCACUAGAGAAGAAACUGUCUGACCUACUUGGUGACUGUCAAGAGCAGAAAGAAGGAUGCACCUUCUGAAGGUACGUCUGAUGCACUCAUUAUUAAAACUAAUCUAAUGAUUUUCUCUUCUUCUAGUUGGAUUCUAGACUUUGAUUUGAGUACUUAUUUAUAUACUUCUAUGCAGGGUCUUGAAGAAGUGAGAGGGCU